UAUUCGGCAUGUGAGACACAAUUAUGAUACUGACUUGCAAAACAAAUAUAUAGAUGACAUUUAUUUUAGCGUUGGCAAAUGGGAGUGCCGCUCAAAUUGGCUUAGGCUCCUCACUACGAGACUAUACAACGUAGCUAGCUUCAUAAACAUAUUUUGGGGAAUUCUGAAAUGUAUUGGAAUAAAUGACCAAGUUAUAAAAUUAGCUAGCCAGCUAAGUAUUGUAACUCUAGCUAUCUACCUGACAAAAUGCUAGCUAACUACGUUAGCUUGCUACAUUAAUAGCUUUAGGUUGGUGUUUUUUAAGCUCAACUUCAAGAUUUCCAUCAAGGACGUUGCAUCCGAUCAUCACUCUCCCUCGCUUGGGCAAAGGACAUUUAAGUCUCCUCCAGCUAAAGUAGGAGAGGCAGUAAAGGCUUCCAUCUGCUGGCUACAGACUCAUUGACGGGGCUUUCCUCUACCAGAAUGAGGUGGGAAAGGGCAUCCAGGCUAUGAUCCAGGAGGGUACUGUAAAGAGAGAGGAGCUGUUCGUCAUCAGCAAGAUUAGGGAUGAGCUCGUGGACAGCGAGGGAUUCACUGUUGCCGUGGAAACCAGAUUCCUGGAUACCUGGGAGCGCCUCUCGGGGCAUGGCAGAGCUUGUGGAUGCAGGGUUGGUAAAAGCCAUUGGAAUCUCCAAUUUCAACAGCCAUCCAACUGAAUCCAUUCUGAACACACCAGGCCUCAAGAACAAACCUGCCAACAACCAGGUGCUCUUUGCCCUCUCUCCCAGCCCAAAAUAGCACUUUGCAUUUGUGAUCUUUAGAGCAUAACAGGUAUUCAGAGUUAAUCACAGUGUCAUUGAGUACGUUUACAUGCGCAGCAAUAAUUCAAUAUUAAACUGAUUAUGGCAGUAUGCAGAUUAUGCAAAAGUCAUGUAAACACUGCUGCUUAUCUUAAUUGUCAGAAAGGUCAAAAUCAAAAGUAAGCAUACGGCGAUUAAAACACCUGGUUUUCUGAGCAAUCUUUCAAAUUACUAGGACAUGUAAACACCUUCAUCAGCGUUUCAGCUGUGUAUUUGAUCUACGCAUGUGCUAGCAACAACCCAAGCAAGCCUCACUCUUUAGCAGGAGUGAAGUGAGGGUUCGGAACAACUGAAUGUAUGCACCUUAGAAUUAGUUUUCACAUACAAACUUAGAAUCCAAUAUUCUUCCCAAAAAUAACAGGGUUGUUGUGGUAGAACAAUUAUAUUUUGAUUGGCGAUUUUCUGCAUUUAUCAGAGUAGCCUAAUUUUCAGAUGUUUCAGGAUUAUUAGGGAAAUAUGUCUCCUUGCAAAGAAUGUAAACUUUUCAAUCCAUCUAUUAUAUUAAUCUGAUUAUCCACAAUAAUCGCAUUAGUGUGUGCAUGUAACCAUACUAUAACUUAUGUAGUAGGCUGCCUCCCGAAUGGCGCAGCGUCACUACAGACCCGGGUUCGAUCUCUGGCUCUGUCGCCUGGAAUUCGAGAAACCCAUGAGGAGGCGCACAAUUGGCCCAACGUCGUCCAGGUUAGGGGAGGGUUUGGCCAUCGCGCUCUAGCGACUCCUUGUGGCGGACGCAUGCACGCUGACUUAGGUGGCCAGUUGUACAGUGUUUCCUCCGACACAUUGGUGCAGCUGGCUUCCGGCUUAAGCGAGCAGUGUUUCAAGAAGCAGUACAGUUUGGCAGGGUCGUGUUUCGUAAGGACGCAUGGCUCUCGACCUUCGCCUCUCCCAGGUCAAUAUGGGAGUUACACCUGUCACCAUCGUUACGCGCAUCAUGACACUCACAUGGACUCCAUCACCUCCUUGAUUACCUGCCCUAUAUAUGUCACCCACUUUGGUUCCUUCCUGAGGCGUCAUUGUUGUUUAGUUUUUUGAUUACAUCACUCCCUGAACUUGCUUCCCGACUCUCAGUGCACAUCGUUACAUCCUGUCUGCUCUGACCAGAUUGAGGGCCACCCAUAUCUGUCCCAGCAAAAGCUGAUCAACUAUUGUCACUCCCAAGGCAUUACUGUCACAGCAUACAGCCCCCUGGGGUUACCUACCAGGCCAUGGUAAACGACACACGGAUAGACACAGUACAGACACAUGGAGGGAAAUGUUGCACACACACACAUUAUUCGUAAGUUUCUACGGUAACUGUCUGAUCUGAUGUUCUUGUAUUAGGGUCAAACCAGACAACCCCUGUUUAUUUCAAGACCCAAACAUCAAGGACAUAACUGAGAAGCACCAGAGGACUAUAUCUCAGGUAAAGUGAGAGCCACAGUAACUUAGUCUAACUGUUAGCUACAUAGAGAAAAUGGGUAAAGGGUCUCCACCUACCCACGGCACAGGAUGAUGCAAAAGGAACUCGCCCAUUGUGAGAGGAUGCAAAGACAUGAAAGAUGAUGUUUACAGUAAUGUUCUGGAACUUUUUGUUGUUGAUGCAGUUUUCCCUCUGUUUUCAAAGACUGUAGAUGUUGGUUUUCAUUCCAGGUGUUUGACUUUGAACUGAGCAAAGAGGACAUAAGGACCAUGUUAUUACUGAACAGGAACUACAGAGUCUUUCCUCUGCCCUCAUACGUAAUUAUAGUGCCAAUCACCUUUGUCAAACGUGAUCAUACAUCCGUUUUUAAAGCCUCAACUGAUCUUCGGUAUCUCUGGGUGACUGUCCUCCGCUGUUUGUUUCCCAUAGGGGGCUGAAGCACAAAGACUACCCCUUCAGUGAUGAAUUUGAAGAGGCACGUAUACCCGCCAUUGAAGUCUCCAGCUUCACUCCAUUACAGAUCACAUUCUACCUAAUCUUAAUAUGGAUGGAGGGCCCUCCCCUGUGCUGUCAAUCAUAUUGAAUUAUUUAUAUUCAUUAUAAUCACAAGAACAAUAUAGUACAUAAAUUGUAUGCAUAACAUGUUGCAGAAAACAUUUAUAUAGCCUGGCCUAUAAUUUAAGAUUCUCAAAGAUUGUUAUUGUCACUGUUGUUCUCAUUUCAUUGUCUCAUAGCUAAUUUAACACUAAAUAUUUAAUGAACACAGAUUAGUAUUUGUGAGAAUAAAACAAACAUUCUCACUCAGUAAAUCUACGGAGUUGCUUAUUGUGGUCGGUCUUCCAUCUGAAACCGUUGCUGAGCCAUAAGAUGGACCGCAAAAUAAUCACGUUGAACACGUUCCAAUGCACCAAUAUAGCGCCUCUUCCCCCUUCAGGAGGCUGAAAAGAUUUGGCAUGGGCCCUCGGAUCUUCCAAACGUUCUACAGCUGCACCAUCGAGUAUCUUGACUGGCUGCAUCACAGCUUGGUAUAGAAAAUGCAUCGCCCUUGCAGACAGCACAGUACAUCACUGGGGCCAAUCUCCCUGCCAUCCAGGACCUCUAUGUCAGGUGGUGUCAGAGGAAGGGCCGAAAAAUUGCCUGACUCCAGCCACCCAAGCCAUAGACUGUCCACUCUGCUACUGUCCGGCAAACGGUACCGGACCAUUGGCUCUCGGACCACCAGGAUCUGAGUCAGCUUCCACCCCCAAGCCAUUACACUGCUAAAUAGUAAAUUAAUGGUACCCAAACUAUCUUGCACUGACCCUACGCACACUCACUAGACGGCAGCUGGUGGCACUCCAUUCCAGACAUUAUUAUUAGCUGUCCACCCCUCAGCAGCCUCCUGUGAUAUACACACUCACACUACAUUGACACUCCCACUAAAAACCCACGUACAUUCACACACACUACAUUGACACUCCCACUAAAACCCCACAUACAUUUACAUACACUACAUACAGUGCAUUCGGCAAGUAUUUAGACCCCUUGAUUUUUUUCCACAUUUUGUUACAUUACAGCCUUAUUCUAACUUUAUUAAAUCAUUUUU
This is a long non-coding RNA of Oncorhynchus tshawytscha (Chinook salmon), 3823 nucleotides long. RefSeq lists it as uncharacterized. The transcript has 4 exons. The record is from RefSeq and is a predicted model, not a curated record. NCBI's taxonomy places the organism in Eukaryota, Metazoa, Chordata, Actinopteri, Salmoniformes, Salmonidae.